UAUGCCUUAGUUUAUGAUGAGCAGGGAUUUUUGGUAUCCCAGGAGAUAGUUUAAUUCUAUCAGGCAUAG
This 69-nucleotide transfer RNA is filed under the name Epicauta gorhami. Its description in RNAcentral is "tRNA-Gln". Lineage: Eukaryota; Metazoa; Arthropoda; Insecta; Coleoptera; Meloidae. The record is from RNAcentral.